Molecule: ribosomal RNA, 497 nt
Filed under: uncultured bacterium
Lineage: Bacteria
Description: partial 16S ribosomal RNA
Rfam family: Bacterial small subunit ribosomal RNA
Source: RNAcentral
GAUGAACGCUGGCGGCGUGCCUAAUACAUGCAAGUCGAGCGAACAGACGAGGAGCUUGCUCCUCUGAUGUUAGCGGCGGACGGGUGAGUAACACGUGGAUAACCUACCUAUAAGACUGGGAUAACUUCGGGAAACCGGAGCUAAUACCGGAUAACAUGUUGAACCGCAUGGUUCAACAGUGAAAGACGGUCUUGCUGUCACUUAUAGAUGGAUCCGCGCCGCAUUAGCUAGUUGGUAAGGUAACGGCUUACCAAGGCAACGAUGCGUAGCCGACCUGAGAGGGUGAUCGGCCACACUGGAACUGAGACACGGUCCAGACUCCUACGGGAGGCAGCAGUAGGGAAUCUUCCGCAAAGGGCGAAAGCCUGACGGAGCAACGCCGCGUGACUGAAGAAGGUCUUCGGAUCGUAAAACUCUGUUAUUAGGGAAGAACAAAUGUGUAAGUAACUAUGCACGUCUUGACGGUACCUAAUCAGAAAGCCACGGCUAACUACGUG